UUUUCAAAACAGCACAACACAGAACUUCAAAAUCCAAAAGACAUCUCUGAAACUAGGUUUCAGCAUUCUCCAUGAACCCUUCAAGUGAUGUUCAACCCAACUCAGGACGGUUCUUCAGUUAUGGCAUAUUCUUAUUUUUUCCCAUGCUGCUCAUUUUUACUUUAUAAAUUAUUUCUUUUUCAGAAAAAAAUUUGUAUUACUUAUGUGAAGAGGACAUGGGAUUGGAGGCUCUAGAAGUCUGGGUCUAUGCUUCCACAAGGAGAAAAAAUAAAUAUCUAGACAUCUCAGCAAAACAAGAAGCUAAGAAAUCAAAACAAGCCUUCAGCCUUCCGAUAAAUGGAAAAAGCCGGAUCCUCAUUGGAGGGAGGCAAGUGGUAUGCGUUGGAGGCUGUCAUCAGCUCUGACCCCAACCCCCCUGGUGAGCUGAGCACAAAGGCAACUUGGAUGAGAUGCAGCUUGGGGCACUUUACAGAGGCUAGAUUGUAAAUUUGUCCAUUUAUGAGUGUCCUGCAGGGCUUCCCACCAGCUCUGUCUACAAAGCUAAAGCUCAAAGGAACAAAACAUAUCCAUAAAAUCUCCUCUUAUAGACACUGCUAAUUAAAGCACAGCAA
Molecule: long non-coding RNA, 611 nt
Filed under: Dasypus novemcinctus (nine-banded armadillo)
Lineage: Eukaryota; Metazoa; Chordata; Mammalia; Cingulata; Dasypodidae
Description: lncRNA (ENSDNOG00000052718.1)
Source: RNAcentral